Sapajus apella (tufted capuchin) is the source of this 179-nucleotide long non-coding RNA. RefSeq lists it as uncharacterized. Lineage: Eukaryota; Metazoa; Chordata; Mammalia; Primates; Cebidae. The transcript has 2 exons. The record is from RefSeq and is a predicted model, not a curated record.
GUGCGUACAUGCGUGAUGACGUAGGGAGCGUCGAUUGGGAGAGAGAACUGGGCCCGCGCCUGCGUGCAUUCUCGUCUUCUGUCCAAGUUGGUCGCUUCCCUGCGCCAAAGUGAGCAGUAGCCAACAUGUCAGGGUGGGAGUCCUAUUACAAAACCGAGGGCGAUGAAGAAGCAGAAGAA